This is a long non-coding RNA of Musa acuminata AAA Group (dessert banana), 1054 nucleotides long. RefSeq lists it as uncharacterized. The record is from RefSeq and is a predicted model, not a curated record. The transcript has 5 exons. Lineage: Eukaryota; Viridiplantae; Streptophyta; Magnoliopsida; Zingiberales; Musaceae.
UGCUAUAACUGUGCGGACUAGUUCAAAACGGACAAUUCUCCGUGAGCCUCGCAGUCGAAGGUUGGUUCUUUCCACUGUCGUCGGAUCCCGGAUCUUGCAUUUCUCGACGUCGAUGGCGGCCAUGGAGGAGUUGAGUUAGCUCGCGCAGUCCACAAGUCGCCGCCCUCCUCGCGGACGAGGACUUCGAUGAAAGAUCGUACAAGCGGCGGAUUUCCACCUUCCUCAACGUCGUCGUUCUCGGCAACGUUGGUGCUGGUAAAUCAGCAAUGUAGAACAGCUUGAUCGGACAUUCCGUAUUGGUAUGGUGAACUUGGAAUUGUACUUCUAGUUUGUUCAUGUUUCAUCAUUUGCGACCUGCACCUUUCUGUUGAUUCGAGAGGCAUUAAUUGUUUACUGAAAUCAACUGGAGAAAAUGGUUUCACUCGGUCUCUUGAGAUGGCUCUAUCAGUGUUGAUUUGCAAAGAGAUGGCUCUCUGAGCAUUAAAUCAAUCAUCCUGCAAAUAGAUGACAAAUCCCAACAGGUUUCUGCAAGACCAGCUAAGCAAGGGCACAGAAACUCAUAGUUCAGUAAAGAGCCGUGCAGAUGUGAUCUAUAUGAAACCCUGGACGGGUACAGAUUACAAGUCCCAGAUUGUUCAUGAUGAUUGUUUAGGCUUGGAGAACAAAUGGUGCAAAGUGCUGAAGGUACCAGGGCUAUUGCACUAGAGCUAUGUCAAGAAUUUGAAGGUCAUUUACGGGUAGGGGUUGCAUUUUUACAUGGAAGGCAGAACUUUAGGCAGGGAUAGUCGCGAGGCUGGCGUGUGCGAUGGGCUGCCGUGAUAAUCUACUGAUCGACUGACAGCGUUGUCGGGCUACGUUGUGCGACUCGCGACUGCACACCGCAAUGGUCGUAGGUAAUGCGUGGCGGAAGGGCGCCCGUGAAGACUCGCACGUCUGGGCGCACUCGUGGGUGGCAACGGACAGCGAUAGCUUUUCGCGUGAGAUGGGUGCGAUGGAACACAGUGACGGUUGUGAGAAGAGGGGAUUAGGAUUUCUUCACCCAUUAAAAGACACU